AACGAACGCUGGCGGCAUGCCUAACACAUGCAAGUCGAACGAGACCUUCGGGUCCAGUGGCGCACGGGUGCGUAACGCGUGGGAACCUGCCCUUAGGUUCGGAAUAACUCCCCGAAAGGGGUGCUAAUACCGGAUAAUGUCUUCGGACCAAAGAUUUUUCGCCUUUGGAUGGGCCCGCGUUGGAUUAGCUAGUUGGUAGGGUAAAAGCCUACCAAGGCGACGAUCCAUAGCUGGUCUGAGAGGAUGAUCAGCAACACUGGGACUGAGACACGGCCCAGACACCUACGGGAGGCAGCAGUAGGGAAUAUUAGACAAUGGGCGAAAGCCUGAUCCAGCAAUGCCGCGUGAGUGAUGAAGGCCUUAGGGUUGUAAAUCUCUUUUACCCGGGAUGAUAAUGACAGUACCGUGAGAAUAAGCUCCGGCUAACUCCGUG
RNAcentral lists this ribosomal RNA (433 nucleotides) under uncultured bacterium. Its description in RNAcentral is "partial 16S ribosomal RNA". It matches the Rfam family "Bacterial small subunit ribosomal RNA", at positions 29 to 507 of the family's 1533-position model. The record is from RNAcentral.